AGAAAGAAAUAAAUAAGAUUGAAGCCAGGAACUGUGCUGUGAAGGAUUGCACUUUAGGACUGUUUGCUUUAGGAUGCUAAAUGAAGUGUCUGUGUGCUUCCCAUCCUUUCAUAGAUAAACUGACUUUCACAUGCAUGAUCUGAGUUUUCAAAUCCUGGGAGCGAUCUCAGAAAAAUGUUUCCUUCCAGUGAAAAUACGGAGGAUGGGUUUGAUUCUGGAAUCUGCUGCCCAUGUGAAUAACACCAGGAAAUGAACAACUAGAAAAUUGGUGUCAAAAUUUGGAGUGAGCCCAUGGUCUUUAAAUUAUUGAUGUUGAAUCCAGUGACUUCAGCAUUAAUGUCUUUGGAUUUAAUUGUUCUGAAGACUGGAACUCACAACAGGAAGAUAAAUUAUUACAGUCUUGGUGCAGAUUUGCCUCCUUCCCUGAGAUGGAAAAUUUACACGAACUAGAAUUACAGGAAAGCUGAGUCUCCUUCAAGAGCAACGCAGAAGGGAAAGAAGUUUGAACUGCAGAAGAUACCUUUGGGUAAACUCAGAAAAGGCAAGAAAUAGGAAAUCUAUCCCUGCUGGGAAAUCAUUUGAAGAAGAAAGUAUUUGAAAGAGUAAUGAUUUUCCCAGCCAAAGUCUGGACCACACAGUCAUCCAAAGAACAAUACAAUAUAUCAAGUUCUGGAGAGCAUAAAUACAGAAUGUCUCACAAAUUAUGUCAGUCAGGAUUUUGACAUUGCAAUGAUUGAAAUACCUAUUUAACAUAUACAAGUCUGUGAGUCAGUCCAAUGAAUGAUAUUAAAAUUAGACAGAUUCUCCAGAAAACUGGUCAAAACCAUUUAUUUUUUCCUAUUAUUCCUCACAUUCAGUGUAAAGUGAGCCCAAAUCUUGGAAAACCUGUCAUAUUUAAGAAAAGUAUUUAAAACUUUCUUAGCUCAUGUAAUUCUGGAGAGACUGAAAAGGGAAAUCUAAAGUUUGAGAUAUUUUACAGGCAUUAGAGAGAGAGAGAUAGGCAAUCACCAGCCAUAUGAAGUUCAGCCA
Cyanistes caeruleus (blue tit) is the source of this 1029-nucleotide non-coding RNA. NCBI's taxonomy places the organism in Eukaryota, Metazoa, Chordata, Aves, Passeriformes, Paridae. The record is from RefSeq and is a predicted model, not a curated record.